GAGAAAUUAGUUAAUUAAUAACACCACCUUGUCAAGAUGUAAUUAUGCGCUAAACCCUCAUAUUUCUCU
This 69-nucleotide transfer RNA is filed under the name Allobates flaviventris. RNAcentral describes it as "tRNA-Asp". The record is from RNAcentral. Lineage: Eukaryota; Metazoa; Chordata; Amphibia; Anura; Aromobatidae.